RNAcentral lists this ribosomal RNA (468 nucleotides) under uncultured bacterium. RNAcentral describes it as "partial 16S ribosomal RNA". It matches the Rfam family "Bacterial small subunit ribosomal RNA", at positions 28 to 507 of the family's 1533-position model. The record is from RNAcentral.
GACGAACGCUGGCGGCGUGCUUAACACAUGCAAGUCGAACGGAAAGGCCCUGCGUUUGUGGGGUGCUCGAGUGGCGAACGGGGGAGUAACACGUGAGUAACCUGCCCUUGACUUUGGGAUAACUUCAGGAAACUGGGGCUAAUACCGGAUAGGAGCUCCUGCUGCAUGGGGGGGGUUGGAAAGUUUCGGCGGUUGGGGAUGGACUCGCGGCUUAUCAGCUUGAUGGUGGGGUAGUGGCUUACCAAGGCUUUGACGGGUAGCCGGCCUGGGAGGGUGACCGGCCACCUUGGUCCUGCGAUACGGCCCAGACUCCUACGGGAGGCAGCAGUGGGGAAUCUUGCACAAUGGGCGGAAGCCUGAUGCAGCAACGCCGCGUGCGGGAUGCCGGCCUUCGGGUUGUAAACCGCUUUCGCCUGUGCCGAAGCGUGAGUGACGGUAAUGGGUAAAGAAGCACCGGCUAACUACGUG